Molecule: ribosomal RNA, 460 nt
Filed under: uncultured bacterium
Lineage: Bacteria
Description: partial 16S ribosomal RNA
Rfam family: Bacterial small subunit ribosomal RNA
Source: RNAcentral
CCUACGGGUGGCAGCAGUGAGGAAUAUUGGUCAAUGGGCGGAAGCCUGAACCAGCCAAGUCGCGUGAGGGAAUAAGGCCCUACGGGUCGUAAACCUCUUUUGCCGGGGAGCAAGGGCUGGGACGUGUCCCGUCCCGGAGAGUACCCGGCGGAAAAGCAUCGGCUAACUCCGUGCCAGCAGCCGCGGUAAUACGGAGGGUGCGAGCGUUCUCCGGAUUUAUUGGGUUUAAAGGGUGCGUAGGCGGGCUUUUAAGUCAGCGGUAAAAAUUCGGGGCUCAACCCCGUCCGGCCGUUGAAACUGGGGGCCUUGAGUGGGCGAGAAGAAGGCGGAAUGCGUGGUGUAGCGGUGAAAUGCAUAGAUAUCACGCAGAACCCCGAUUGCGAAGGCAGCCUUCCGGCGGCCGACUGACGCUGAGGCACGAAAGUGCGGGGAUCGAACAGGAUUAGAUACCCCUGUAGUC